This 255-nucleotide ribosomal RNA is filed under the name uncultured prokaryote. Its description in RNAcentral is "partial 16S ribosomal RNA". It matches the Rfam family "Bacterial small subunit ribosomal RNA", at positions 522 to 776 of the family's 1533-position model. The record is from RNAcentral.
AAUACAGAGGGUGCGAGCGUUGUCCGGAAUUACUGGGCGUAAAGGGCGCGUAGGCGGUUCGAUAAGUCGGGGGUGAAAUGCUGCGGCUCAACCGGAGCAUGGCCUUCGAGACUGUCGGGCUGGAGCACGGUAGAGGCUGGCGGAAUUCCUGGUGUAGCGGUGGAAUGCGUAGAGAUCAGGAAGAACACCGGUGGCGAAGGCGACCAGCUGGGCCGUUGCUGACGCUGAGGCGCGACAGCGUGGGGAGCAAACAGG